RNAcentral lists this ribosomal RNA (734 nucleotides) under Zostera marina. Its description in RNAcentral is "Eukaryotic small subunit ribosomal RNA". It matches the Rfam family "Eukaryotic small subunit ribosomal RNA", at positions 91 to 1668 of the family's 1831-position model. Lineage: Eukaryota; Viridiplantae; Streptophyta; Magnoliopsida; Alismatales; Zosteraceae. The record is from Rfam by way of RNAcentral.
UUCCCUAUAUUCUGUAAUCUUGGGCUAUGCCCAACCACUUUUCAGUAAUGAAAAUUUAAUUUUUCAAAAAAAAAAAAAACCAAUGCUUCUCAUAUAUUUCCUUAGUCACACUUGACACUUUGGCUACUCGAGCUAGUUGAAUUGAGUGAUCUUCCACAUGAUCUAUUCUAAGUUUUAUUUUAAUAUGUUCAAGCUCUCCAACUACUCUCUGAGCUAAUUAGUCUUCCUUGAGCCAUUUUUUCAUCACAUUCACCCCAUCUGUUUGAGACUAGGACGGUAUAUGAUAGUCUUCAAGCCCAAAAUGGGUGUGACACCUACCAUGGUGGUGACGGAGAAUUAGAGUUUGAUUCUCGAGAGGGAGUCUGACAAACGGAUACCACAUCCAAGGAAGGUAGCAAACACACAAAUUACUUGAUUCUGACAUAGGGAGGUAGCAACAAUUAACAAUACUUGGCUCUUUAAUCAUGAACGAGAGUUUUGGGCUCGAGAACCAUCAUAUACUGUCCUAGUCUCAAUCAUAAGCAUUGGCAACCAAGGAUUGACAAAUGAUGUUUUAGGAUUCAAAGUUCUUGGGUCACGAGGGAAGUAUGGUUGCAAUUCUAAAACCUAAAGGAGUGAUACGUGCUCUGUCGAGGUAUCUCAACAAGUCUUAGACUCGAUUGCUAACCUAGAGGAGGACGAUUGUGAAGAGGAGUCAACGGCCAACACAACUGGUGUCGACUGGACUAUCAACA